UAACCGCAAGGCUUAAGAGGAGGGGUGAGAAAAAGUCGUAUAAAAGGCGAGAGAAAAGUCGACAGGGAUCAGUCGAGCGAGUAUCUCCGACACGGUAACAGCUGCAUUCCACUAUCUGCCAUCAGCUGCAUUCUUCAUCGUACUAUCAGUUCUCAAUCAUGGUAAACUAUGCUGUCGUGCUGUUGUUGGGUGUUGUGUCGUUGAUGGCUGGUUCAGCCACUGGCGUACCGAUGUAUCCUGGGUAUGGCGGAUACCAAAGCACUACACUGCCGCCUUAGUACACAACCAGUUGCUACACCGAUGCCCCCCAGGUACUUCACCACCAUGCUGCCCCGAGCUACUACACCGAAUCCCCGCAGUAUUAUUCUUCUCCGAGCUACACUACUAAAGGGUAGAGUACUACACCGAGGCUCCCCAACACUACACCACCAAGGCACCGGAGUACUACACCACUACAUAUCAUGGUAAUGAAGGAGAGAAAAGGUGAAAUAUUUCAGCAGCCGAUUGAGCAUCUCCGUUACGGCAACAGGAACUGCCGUGCACUAUUUGUCAUCAACUUCAUUCUUCGUCGCAUUAAAAGUUUUAAAUAAAGUAAACUAUGGCGUCGUGCUGCUGUUGGGUGUUGUAUUGUUGAUGGGUGGUUCAGCCAUGGUGUACCGAUGUCUCCUGGGUAUGGCGGGUACUAAAGCACAACACUGCCGUGCCGUCUAACUAAUUAGCAUCAACUUCCGCUGCUCCAGCUUACUACACUGAGGUUUACAAGUGCUACACCACCAUGGAUCCAGAGUAUUACACCACAGCUCAUGUUGCCCCGACCUACUACGCUGAAUGCCCGAAGUAUUUUUCUUCCCCGAGCUACACUACCAAAGGGUCGAGAACUACGUCGAGGCUCCCAAGUACUACAUCACCAAGGCACCGGAGUACAAAAAAGGUUGAAUACUACACAGAAGCUAUCAUGGUUCAAAUUAUUUGUUGCCUAGGAAACUAUGGUGUCGUGUUGCUGUGAGUGUUGUAAUCAUGAUGGCUGGAUCGACCACUGGUGUGCCGAUAUCUCCUGGGUAUGGUGGGCAUCAACAACAUACGCAACAACCGCUUACUACACUGGGACCUGCAAGUGCCAAACCACCAAGGCUUCAGAGUAUUACACCACAGUUUAUGUUGGCACGAGCUACUACGCAGAAGCUCCGGAAUAAUUUUCUUCCCCGCUUCACUACCUUCACCACGCCGCGUCCUUACUAAACAACAACAACAACGUCGUCAACACCUACUUACUAAACGAACGCCUCCAAGUACUACGCCAUAAAGGCUUCGACUACCACACCGAGGAUCAACCUGUUACACCGCCGAAGCGCCCAAGUACUGCACUACAACCUACAUUGCCCCAGCUUACACCACGAAGGCAGCGGAGUCCUACUACACCACGAAGGCAGCGGAGUCCUACUACACCACGAAGGCAGCGGAGUCCUACUACACCACGAAGGCAGCGGAGUCCUACUACACCACGAAGGCAGCGGAGUCCUACUACACCACGAAGGCAGCGGAGUCCUACUACACCACGAAGGCAGCGGAGUCCUACUACACCACGAAGGCAGCGGAGUCCUACUACACCACGAAGGCAGCGGAGUCCUACUACACCACGAAGGCAGCGGAGUCCUACUACACCACGAAGGCAGCGGAGUCCUACUACACCACGAAGGCAGCGGAGUCCUACUACACCACGAAGGCAGCGGAGCCCUACUACACCACGAAGGCAGCGGAGUCCUACUACACCACGAAGGCAGCGGAGUCCUACUACACCACGAAGGCAGCGGAGUCCUACUACACCACGAAGGCAGCGGAGUCCUACUACACCACGAAGGCAGCGGAGUCCUACUACACCACGAAGGCAGCGGAGUCCUACUACACCACGAAGGCAGCGGCAAGUUAAACCGAGGCUCCAGUUUACUACAAUACAACCUUCGCUGCUCCAUCGUACUACACCGAUGUUCCCAAGUACUACACCAUCAAGGCAUCCGAGUAUUACGCAUUACUUACGCACAAUCAUUACUACACCGAAGCUUCGAACGCAUCACUCUGCCCCGAGUUACUACACCACUAAGGCAGUCAAAUAUUACACCACAAACUACUAUCCCGCAAUUUUCUAAAAGGAAAUUUCUAAAUACUAGAGCCGGAAAUUCUUGAGGUUAUUUAUAUAUGUCGGUUAUUUUCGUGGUCAUUGGUUAUUGGGAAUUAAUUAUUGAUCUUACAUGAAAAAAUAAAAGUUUUAAUAUGGGUAA
RNA transcript from Daphnia pulex (common water flea), 2276 nucleotides. RefSeq lists it as uncharacterized. The record is from RefSeq and is a predicted model, not a curated record. Lineage: Eukaryota; Metazoa; Arthropoda; Branchiopoda; Diplostraca; Daphniidae. The transcript is spliced from 6 exons.